CAGCCGCCGCGGGAAUACGUAGGUGGCAAGCGUUGUCCGGAAUUAUUGGGCGUAAAGGGCUCGCAGGCGGUUUCUUAAGUCUGAUGUGAAAGCCCCCGGCUCAACCGGGGAGGGUCAUUGGAAACUGGGAAACUUGAGUGCAGAAGAGGAGAGUGGAAUUCCACGUGUAGCGGUGAAGUGCGUAGAGAUGUGGAGGAACACCAGUGGCGAAGGCGACUCUCUGGUCUGUAACUGACGCUGAGGAGCGAAAGCGUGGGGAGCGAACAGGAUUAGAUACCCGGGUAGUCCCUGUCUCUAUACA
Molecule: ribosomal RNA, 301 nt
Filed under: uncultured bacterium
Lineage: Bacteria
Description: partial 16S ribosomal RNA
Rfam family: Bacterial small subunit ribosomal RNA
Source: RNAcentral